GAUGAACGCUAGCGGGAGGCCUAACACAUGCAAGCCGAGCGGUAGAGUUUCUUCGGAAACUUGAGAGCGGCGCACGGGUGCGUAACACGUGUGCAACCUACCUUUAUCUGGGGGAUAGCCUUUCGAAAGGAAGAUUAAUACCCCAUAAUAUAAUGAUUGGCAUCAAUUAUUAUUGAAAACUCCGGUGGAUAGAGAUGGGCACGCGCAAGAUUAGAUAGUUGGUGAGGUAACGGCUCACCAAGUCAAUGAUCUUUAGGGGUCCUGAGAGGGAGAUCCCCCAGACUGGUACUGAGACACGGACCAGACUCCUACGGGAGGCAGCAGUGAGGAAUAUUGGACAAUGGGUGAUAGCCUGAUCCAGCCAUCCCGCGUGAAGGAUGACGGUCCUAUGGAUUGUAAACUUCUUUUGUACAGGGAUAAACCUACCCUCGGGAGGGUAGCUGAAGGUACUGUACGAAUAAGCACCGGCUAACUCCGUG
Molecule: ribosomal RNA, 479 nt
Filed under: uncultured bacterium
Lineage: Bacteria
Description: partial 16S ribosomal RNA
Rfam family: Bacterial small subunit ribosomal RNA
Source: RNAcentral